This 253-nucleotide ribosomal RNA is filed under the name uncultured bacterium. RNAcentral describes it as "partial 16S ribosomal RNA". It matches the Rfam family "Bacterial small subunit ribosomal RNA", at positions 524 to 776 of the family's 1533-position model. The record is from RNAcentral.
UACGUAGGGACCAAGCGUUGUUCGGAUUUACUGGGCGUAAAGGGCGCGUAGGCGGCAAUUCAAGUCAUCUGUGAAAUCUCCGGGCUUAACUCGGAACGGUCAGAUGAUACUGCUUUGCUCGAGUGCGGAAGGGGCAAUCGGAAUUCUUGGUGUAGCGGUGAAAUUCGUAGAUAUCGGGAGGAACACCAGUGGCGAAGGCGGCAACCUGGACAGAUAUUGACGCUGAGGUGCGAAAGCGUGGGGAGCAAACAGG